CACGUAGGGGGCAAGCGUUGUCCGGAUUUAUUGGGCGUAAAGAGCUCGUAGGUGGUUCGGUAAGUCGGGUGUUAAACCCCCAGGCUCAACCUGGGGACGCCACUCGAUACUGCUGUGACUAGAGUCCGGUAGGGGAGCGUGGAAUUCCUGGUGUAGCGGUGAAAUGCGCAGAUAUCAGGAGGAACACCAGCGGCGAAGGCGGCGCUCUGAGCCGGUACUGACACUGAGGAGCGAAAGCGUGGGGAGCAAACAGG
Molecule: ribosomal RNA, 254 nt
Filed under: uncultured bacterium
Lineage: Bacteria
Description: partial 16S ribosomal RNA
Rfam family: Bacterial small subunit ribosomal RNA
Source: RNAcentral